Non-coding RNA from Pelobates cultripes (western spadefoot toad), 1040 nucleotides. The record is from the annotation of a GenBank genome assembly. Lineage: Eukaryota; Metazoa; Chordata; Amphibia; Anura; Pelobatidae.
GUUAAAAUAUUUGGAAACUGUGAUUAUGAGGAAUUUGAUCUUGUGAAUUCACAAAGAAUUCACCUGUGCUGGUCCUCUUAACAAGAAUAUUCAGCAAGUGACAUUUCAAAGGGUUACACGUAUUCUGCCCAUGACAUUAAAAUUCCUCUUUUGACAAGCUUCUGCCAUCUGUAUUUUUGACUUCAGACAAAAGUGAAGAAUUUUUAUUUUCUGUUUCCCCCCUCUUUUUAUAUUUCCCACUCCUGCUUUGCUGAUUGUACGUGUUUAUUGGUUUCUGAACAGUAAACUUUGAUCUAAGAAUCUGAAGGGACAGAUAUAAAGGAUCUUAAGACACUUGUCUGAUUUGAACGCUUUUCAGAGUGAUUUAUGGCAAAGCUUCCUUCUGAGCUUUCCAGAUGACUUGUGUCUCACGAGAGCCUGUUUUCAAUAUCAACGUUGUCCUAAUCUUUGCAGAAUGCAAAACACGGUGCAGGUUGUUAGAUGAAAACAAUAUCCAUUGAGAUAAAAAUUAAAUGUUCAUUUUAACCCUCUGGGUGCCAGUUAGAUGGACUGCCUCUUGUGAAACCCUGUCUGAGAGUUACCAGUCAUCUUGAAACUGGAUCAUGCAAAUCUGAUAUGUGUAGCACCGAGGGCUACUCCUGGCUCCAUCCAUCAUCCAUUCUUUUGCUUUGAACUGAGCUCCCAUGACAACUGCUGGCUGGAGGUCAUGAGAGUGGAGGUAUACACAUUCAGAGAGCAUUCCAGCCAAUUAUAACACCAGUACAGCUCAAAAAGCAAUAGAGUUGCUAAACUCAAAUAGCCACACCACUGCUAAACACUGAAAUAUUUUAUUGGAUCAAUUAUUGAUUGCAGAAGAAGAAGGCAUUUUCAGUUGUAGCAUGUAUUCUUUCUACAAUUCUCAUUCUUUACUGAUUACUAAUAGAGAAGGCGUUUCCCAAAUUAUGUCAAAAAAGUAUGUUAAUAACCAGAACAUAUUAGUUAUAUAUCAGUACAUAGUAGCACAAUUUGCCAGAAUCAGGCAUGAUAAAAUAGGAUAUUUU